UACGGAGGGGACUAGCGUUGUUCGGAAUUACUGGGCGUAAAGCGCGCGUAGGCGGAUUUGUAAGUCGGGGGUGAAAUCCCGGGGCUCAACCUCGGAACUGCCUUCGAUACUGCAAAUCUCGAGUCCGGAAGAGGUGAGUGGAAUUCCUAGUGUAGAGGUGAAAUUCGUAGAUAUCGGGAGGAACACCAGUGGCGAAGGUGGCGACCGGGGCCAAUCAUGGCGCUGAGGUGCGAAAGCGUGGGGAGCAAACAGG
This 253-nucleotide ribosomal RNA is filed under the name uncultured bacterium. RNAcentral's name for it is "partial 16S ribosomal RNA". It matches the Rfam family "Bacterial small subunit ribosomal RNA", at positions 524 to 776 of the family's 1533-position model. The record is from RNAcentral.